UUUAAAGAGAGUUUGAUCCUGGCUCAGGACGAACGCUGGCGGCGUGCCUAAUACAUGCAAGUCGAACGAACGGAGGAAGAGCUUGCUCUUCCAAAGUUAGUGGCGGACGGGUGAGUAACACGUGGGCAACCUGCCUGUAAGUUGGGGAUAACUCCGGGAAACCGGGGCUAAUACCGAAUGAUAAAGUGUGGCGCAUGCCACGCUUUUGAAAGAUGGUUUCGGCUAUCGCUUACAGAUGGGCCCGCGGUGCAUUAGCUAGUUGGUAGGGUAAUGGCCUACCAAGGCAACGAUGCAUAGCCGACCUGAGAGGGUGAUCGGCCACACUGGGACUGAGACACGGCCCAGACUCCUACGGGAGGCAGCAGUAGGGAAUCUUCCGCAAUGGACGAAAGUCUGACGGAGCAACGCCGCGUGUAUGAAGAAGGUUUUCGGAUCGUAAAGUACUGUUGUUAGAGAAGAA
RNAcentral lists this ribosomal RNA (460 nucleotides) under Listeria monocytogenes. RNAcentral's name for it is "bacterial SSU rRNA". It matches the Rfam family "Bacterial small subunit ribosomal RNA", at positions 1 to 449 of the family's 1533-position model. The record is from RNAcentral. Lineage: Bacteria; Bacillati; Bacillota; Bacilli; Caryophanales; Listeriaceae.